RNAcentral lists this ribosomal RNA (250 nucleotides) under uncultured bacterium. RNAcentral's name for it is "partial 16S ribosomal RNA". It matches the Rfam family "Bacterial small subunit ribosomal RNA", at positions 525 to 775 of the family's 1533-position model. The record is from RNAcentral.
ACGUAGGUGGCAAGCGUUGUCCGGAAUUAUUGGGCGUAAAGGGAGCGCAGGUGGGAAUGUAAGUCAAUCUUAAAAGUGCGGGGCUCAACCCCGUGAUGGGAUAGAAACUACAUUUCUUGAGUGCAGGAGAGGAAAGUGGAAUUCCUAGUGUAGCGGUGAAAUGCGUAGAUAUUAGGAGGAACACCAGUGGCGGAGGCGACUUUCUGGACUGUUACUGACACCGAGGCUCGAAAGCUAGGGGAGCGAACGG